GGCCCAGUAGUCAAGCGGUCAAGACAUGUUGUUUUCACCAAUAUAUCAAGGGUUCAAAUCCCUUCUGGGCUA
Molecule: transfer RNA, 72 nt
Filed under: Lepraria oxybapha
Lineage: Eukaryota; Fungi; Ascomycota; Lecanoromycetes; Lecanorales; Stereocaulaceae
Description: tRNA-Glu
Rfam family: tRNA
About the family: Transfer RNA (tRNA) molecules are approximately 80 nucleotides in length. Their secondary structure includes four short double-helical elements and three loops (D, anti-codon, and T loops).
Source: RNAcentral